This is a long non-coding RNA of Eupeodes corollae, 354 nucleotides long. RefSeq lists it as uncharacterized. The transcript has 3 exons. NCBI's taxonomy places the organism in Eukaryota, Metazoa, Arthropoda, Insecta, Diptera, Syrphidae. The record is from RefSeq and is a predicted model, not a curated record.
GUACAUCAAAUAUAGGGUGAUGAUUUUGAAAAGAAUCACCACUGGGAAAACACACGCGUUCCCGACCUGCAUACACAUUAAGCAUUAAUUGAAAAACUAGACGAAAAAACGAAAACAAGUUUUGUAUUAAGUCAGGUCUUAUAACCAAAUAAGUGCUUGCCUGACGUUUACGAGAUUAUAGCAUGACUGGAAACGCAAUUAUUCUAAUUUUCUACUGAGGUGAAACAAAUGCCUGCAAGGAUGAGUUUGACAGCUCGAUACAAAUCUAUAAAAUAUUUAUAUUGAUAAUGACAUCUUAUUAAAAUAAGUUUACUAUUAAUUAUUGUACUAUAAUUUAGGAGUACACAAUUUAUA